Molecule: ribosomal RNA, 406 nt
Filed under: uncultured bacterium
Lineage: Bacteria
Description: partial 16S ribosomal RNA
Rfam family: Bacterial small subunit ribosomal RNA
Source: RNAcentral
AUUGAACGCUGGCGGCAUGCUUUACACAUGCAAGUCGGACGAGUGGCGAACGGGUGAGUAAUAUAUCGGAAUGUACCGAGUAGUGGGGGUUAACUAAUCGAAAGAUUAGCUAAUACCGCCUAUUAUUCGAGCGGCCGAUAUCUGAUUAGCGAGGUGGUGGGGUAAAGGCCUACCAAGGCGACGAUCAGUAGCGGGUCUGAGAGGAUGAUCAGCCACACUGGAACUGAGACACGGCCCAGACUCCUACGGGAGGCAGCAGUGGGGAAUAUUGGACAAUGGGCGCAAGCCUGAUCCAGCCAUGCCGCGUGUCUGAAGAAGGCCUUCGGGUUGUAAAGGACUUUAGUCAGGGAAGCGUUACCUAAAGAAUAAGCACCGGCUAACUACGUGCCAGCAGCCGCGGUAAUAC